This 449-nucleotide ribosomal RNA is filed under the name uncultured bacterium. RNAcentral describes it as "partial 16S ribosomal RNA". It matches the Rfam family "Bacterial small subunit ribosomal RNA", at positions 28 to 523 of the family's 1533-position model. The record is from RNAcentral.
GAUGAACGCUGGCGGCAGGCUUAACACAUGCAAGUCGAACGGGCCCUUCGGGGUCAGUGGCAGACGGGUGAGUAACGCGUGGGAACGUGCCCUUCAGUUCGGGAUAACCCAGGGAAACUUGGGCUAAUACCGGAUACGUGCGAGAGCAGAAAGAUUUAUCGCUGAAGGAUCGGCCCGCGUCUGAUUAGCUGGUUGGUGGGGUAAUGGCCCACCAAGGCGACGAUCAGUAGCUGGUCUGAGAGGAUGAUCAGCCACAUUGGGACUGAGACACGGCCCAAACGCCUACGGGAGGCAGCAGUGGGGAAUAUUGGACAAUGGGCGCAAGCCUGAUCCAGCCAUGCCGCGUGAGUGAUGACGGCCUUAGGGUUGUAAAGCUCUUUCGCACGCGACGAUAAUGACGGUAGCGUGAGAAGAAGCCCCGGCUAACUUCGUGCCAGCCGCCGCGGUAA